GGGGGGCUUGGCGUCAGAAACGAGGGUAAGAGGUGAGGGAACGAAAGAAAAGAACUGAAGGUAAGGAAGGAAUAACUAUGAUGAUUCUUUGAUCCUUCUAUAUAUACAUAUGCCUUGCAGCCCUAUAAUUCAUAGCACAGAGAGAGUAUGGAGUGAACCAUCUUAUCUGAUUAUUAUUACUAUAGAUAUUAUUUAUAUCUCUUGUCUUGUUGAGUGUUAAAUCACCUCUUCUUCUCCCCUACUGCCCUUUUCAAUUAAUUACACCCAUAACCACCCACCUCUCCCUCCCUUUCUCUCUCUUAUUUACUGUGCUAUGCCUUCCUUUCAUCUUAAAUAGAACCCAUCUGCUCCUCCUGCCCCCAUGUGUAGUCUCCAAAGAUUGUUGCUGCUCUCUAGCUGUCUAUCUGUCUGUCUUCUUCGUAUGUGUUUGUGCCUUCCAGUGGUGAAUACUAGGACUGCUAGCUAGCUUUCAUGUGGGUUUUGCAAAGGGUUUCUUACAGAGUUUAUUGGCAUUCUGUCCACCUCCAUCUGUAGAAACUACAAGUUGUUCUACUUUCUGGAGGUGGGCAUACUGCCAACUGAGCUCUGUUGGUCUCUCUUUGUAAAACCCUCGUGAUUAGUCUCUCAUCAUCUAUUCGCUCAAUCUCUUGCAAGAAAAGAGGAACAAAGCUUCUGGUCCUUACUUGGUAUCUAUGUGAUGACUCCAACCUUACUAUCUUUGUUUCACCAAGAAAACAGAAAAUAGAAGAGAAUCACUUCGACCUGCUUUCAUCGUCGGUGCUUUGCCAUGGUUCAGUUUUCUGCAGGAAACUAGAGGUGUUGAGAGACAUCAUUCACAAAAUUCUGAUUUCCAUUUAGGAGAUCUUAGCAUAUGUGACUUCUUCAUGGGUUUCUGGGUUAUAUUUACGAGUAAAUUUCAUAAUCUAACAGCGCAUAGAGCAUUUGCUUUCUUCAUCUCAUCAUCUAGGGUUUUAUUUCUCUCUUAUUUUCCCUUUGAAUCUAACUCACCCAGGGUUCGAGAUUACUGUUCAAGAUUCAAAAGUAUGAAGGUUUGGCGAUGCAUCUUGCAUGGAAUUAAAAUGAGGGAUCAAGUGAUCAUACCGAUUGUUCACCAGGGCUAGUUCAACUUCACGACAGGAUCCAUUGAAGGUCCUAAUUUGGUUCAAAACCUUCUUGUAACCAUCUUCUUUCAGCUUUAUUAUGUACAUGAUUAAUCAUGUUGAGUAUCUUGUUGGAGAUUUCUUUGUUCA
Molecule: long non-coding RNA, 1250 nt
Organism: Populus trichocarpa (black cottonwood)
Lineage: Eukaryota; Viridiplantae; Streptophyta; Magnoliopsida; Malpighiales; Salicaceae
Exons: 2
Source: RefSeq, a predicted model, not a curated record